Long non-coding RNA from Cyprinus carpio carpio, 1131 nucleotides. The record is from Ensembl. NCBI's taxonomy places the organism in Eukaryota, Metazoa, Chordata, Actinopteri, Cypriniformes, Cyprinidae.
AUGACCAGGCUGGAUGACCAUCUGAAUCCAGCCAACCAGCUUAGGCUGGUUUUAGCUGUUUCCCUGCUGAAAAAAAAAACAGCAUAUGCUGGUAAGGUAUGUUUUGAUGCUGGGAUGCUGGUUAAUGCUGGUCCUUUGCUGGUUUAUGCUGGCCCUUUUGCUGGUUUAUGCUGGUUUAUGCUGGUCCUUUUGCUGGUUUAUGCUUGUCCUUUGCUGGUUUAUGCUGGUCCUUUGCUGGUUUAUGCUGGUCCUUUGCUUGGUGUUGCUAGCAUGAUUUGGCUUGUUGUUACCAUGUUUAACAUGUGGCUAGCAUGAAAUAGCAUGUUACUAGCAUGUUUUAACACACUGCUAACAUGUAUUAUCAUGUUGCUAACAUGAUUUAGCAUGUUACUAUCACAUUGUUAGCAUGAUUUAACAUGUUGUUAACAUGAUUGAUAACAUGCUAACAUGAUUUAGCACAUAGAUAGCAUGUUGCUAGCAUUAUUUAACAUGUUGGAAGCAUGUUGCUAGCAUGAUUUAACAUUGUUAGCAUAUUGAUUAACAUAUUGCUACUAUGAUUUAACAUGUUGUAAACGUGAUUUAGCACACAGCUAACGUGUUGCUAGCAGGAUUUAACACACUGUUAGUGUGUUGCUAGCAUGCUAACAUGUUUUUAGCACAGGUUUGUUGUACAUAAUGACUAUACUGUGUAUGUUACUCAGGCAAAAUGCCAGCAGUUGAAAUGGAUUCACAGAUGCUGCAGUAAUUUAAUACUAUCAGUUGGCAAAAAGACGUCUCACAUUUCUUCUUUCAUUCUCAGGAGAAAGGGGUGGCAGAAAGAUUAACUCGUCCUCUCUCGUUCUUUGUCAUUUCUUUAGUGGCUGAUCUGAGAGCAGUGCUCUGUGGAUGCAGUCUGUGCCUCUUCUUGAUGCCAACCACUUUAGCGCACAUGCCAGCUGGCAGCGGUCAUGCAGAUGAACCGGUCAGACACAGUGGCCAUACCUCCAUAAUGUGUUUGCAUUUAUGCUCGUUUUCUGUCUGUUGUAGAACAUUCAAUAUUCUUAUAUCAUACAAUAGUUUAUAUUAUACAACUGUAUUGUGUUGAAUGCUGAAUCCCUGCCAGAUACUUAUUUCUUGCUACCUGAUUGUUCC